Molecule: long non-coding RNA, 608 nt
Organism: Capsicum annuum
Lineage: Eukaryota; Viridiplantae; Streptophyta; Magnoliopsida; Solanales; Solanaceae
Exons: 2
Source: RefSeq, a predicted model, not a curated record
CGAUGGACUUCAGCCAAUUUUAUCUUCACUUAUAAGUAAAAGGAAAAAGGGGAUUAAGGGAUUUUGGGGCUCCAUCUUGCAUCAAGUUGAAGACAAAGAAACACAAAAACAAAUAAGGACCUUGGGGAUGAGAAAACGCAACAGCAGUUGCGUCAAAAUAAAUUUGAUUAUCAGCUGGAGAAUAAAAUCAAGAAGGAAGCCAAAAAAAGGGGUUUGAUUGGGGAUUCUUUCGGGUUUAAGUUUCAGAAUCUGAAAAGCAGCUGUUGUAGCAUUAGACAUUGUAGCACUAUCAAUGGAUGGCGAUGUUGAUGUGCUAGGACCUCCAAUAUUCUCAAUCCAGAAAGGCUGCGUGUGGAUGAUGUUGAAGGUACAGAUAAAGAGCUACUAUGUAGACUAUUAUGGAGAUAAGAGGGCUGGAACUGAUAGGACGGUGGGGCAUGAAAAAUACAUUUGGUAGUGAAAUAGUUUUCCUUGGAGGAGCAAGAAUAUUUAUAGUAGCUGGUUGAAAAGUUGUGGUGGUGGUGGUGGUAUAUAUUAACCUACGGGAAGAUUAUCAGGUCCUUUCUUACCUUUAUUACAUUGUCCAUUACCAUGACCUUUUGAUGCCA